GCUUACGGCCACACCACCCUGAGCACGCCCGCUCUCGUCUGAUCUCGGAAGCCAAGCAGGGUCGGGCCUGGUUAGUACUUGGAUGGGAGACCGCCUGGGAAUACCAGGUGCUGUAAGCAU
Molecule: ribosomal RNA, 120 nt
Filed under: Misgurnus anguillicaudatus (oriental weatherfish)
Lineage: Eukaryota; Metazoa; Chordata; Actinopteri; Cypriniformes; Cobitidae
Source: RNAcentral